UAGAGUUUUGGUGUUAUCCGAUGACUUUUUCUUCGCUUGAUGGACGUUUUGGGUGAUAUUCCGACGUCUAUGCCUUUACUCCGGUGAGUUUCAGAACCUAGGGUUUCCGGUGUUGGACCUAGAAAAAAAAUUUCGAUGACUGUUAAUCGGUUAAUCGGAACUUUUAUGUCUCUCUGAGGCUCCGGUCCUGUAUCAGUAGGUGUUUUGGGUGAUUUUCCGACAUCUCUGACUUUGUUCCGACGAGUUCUUCAAAUUCUAGGGUUUUGUAUCAGUGGGUGUUUUGGGUAAUUUUCCGGCAUCCCUGGUUUUAUUCCGACGAGUUCUUCAAAUUCUAGGGUUUUCCGACUUCGGACCUAGAGCUUUGGUGUUAUCCGAUGACUUUGUCUUCGCUUGAUACACGUUUUGGGUAACUUUCCGACGUCUGUGACCUUAUUUCGGUGAGUUUCAGAACCUAGGGUUUCCGGUGUUGGACCUAGGGUUUUCUUUGUUGAUUGAAGGCCGAUCUUCUCCGGUAGCGAAGAAGGAGGGUAACUCUGUCCUCAUUUUGACUAUUAUAUGCUUUGAAUGUGACUACCUGGUUCUGUAUGUGACUAUCUGGUUCCGUUAUAUUUUUCUUGCCGACACUGUUUUUAAGCUGAUUCAUUAAUCAUGGCUUCUAAUACCACUGUUGGUACCUCCUCCUCGGUAGACUCUACCAGCCCCAUUUUUGUAUAUUCCUCUGAUGUCCCUGGGGUCUCUCUUGUCCCCACUCCCUUCUCGGGUAGUGGUUAUGGGGGUUGGAGACGCAAGAUGAUUGUUGCAUUAUCUGCUAAAAACAAAAUCGGAUUUGUUGACGGCUCAUGUCCUCGACCUACCAGGGUAGUGGUUAUGGGGGUUGGAGGCAUAAAAUGAUUGUUGCAUUAUCUGCUAAAAAUAAAAUCGGAUUUGUUGACGGGUCAUGUCCUCGACCUACCACUAAUGUGGCUCAACAGAGACUGUGGGAUAGAUGUAAUAACAUGGUCAUUUCCUGGUUGACCUCUUCCCUGUCUCUUCAGAUUGCUGAUAGUGUGCAGUAUUCCGAUACUGCACAGAGUAUAUGGUUCCAAAUUGAGAAAAGAUAUGGUACUCCUAACAAGACCAAAAUUUUUGAAUUAAAAAGGGAACUUUCUCACACAUCUCAAGGCUGUUUAGAUGUAGCCUCAUAUUUUAACAA
Molecule: long non-coding RNA, 1192 nt
Filed under: Nicotiana benthamiana
Lineage: Eukaryota; Viridiplantae; Streptophyta; Magnoliopsida; Solanales; Solanaceae
Description: long non-coding RNA (NBEN_LNC005607)
Source: RNAcentral